AUUAGAUACCCUAUUAUUUUUAAUGUAAAGAAGUUAGCUUGAGUAUUAAUAGUUAUGAUCUUGAAACUUAAAGAAUUUGGCGGUAUUAUAGUCUAUUUAGAGGAAUCUGUUAUAUAAUCGAUAGUCCACGUUGAACCUUACUUAUAUAAUUUUUUGUAUAUCGCUGUUUAUGAAUAUAUUUUUAGGUUAAAUUAUCUAAAUAUUACAAUAAAUAAAAUUUCAAGUCAAGGUGCAGUAAUAUAUAAGUUGAGUAAUGGAUUACAAUAAAUUUUAUUUAUAUGAAUUAUUAAUUUAAAUAUAGUUUGAAGGUGGAUUUAAUAGUAAUUUUAUGAAGAUUGUUAAGAUGAUUUUAGGCUCUAUAAUAUGCACACAUCGCCCG
Molecule: ribosomal RNA, 379 nt
Filed under: Nothogalepsus planivertex
Lineage: Eukaryota; Metazoa; Arthropoda; Insecta; Mantodea; Eremiaphilidae
Description: partial 12S ribosomal RNA
Source: RNAcentral